GACGAACGCUGGCGGCGUGCUUAACACAUGCAAGUCGAGCGGUAAGGCCCUUUCGGGGGUACACGAGCGGCGAACGGGUGAGUAACACGUGGGUGACCUGCCCUCAGCUCUGGGAUAAGCCUGGGAAACCGGGUCUAAUACUGGAUAUGACUCCAUGACGCAUGUUGUGGGGUGGAAAGCCUUGUGCGGCUGAGGAUGGGCCCGCGGCCUAUCAGCUUGUUGGUGGGGUGAUGGCCUACCAAGGCGACGACGGGUAGCCGGCCUGAGAGGGCGACCGGCCACACUGGGACUGAGACACGGCCCAGACUCCUAC
This 313-nucleotide ribosomal RNA is filed under the name uncultured bacterium. Its description in RNAcentral is "bacterial SSU rRNA". It matches the Rfam family "Bacterial small subunit ribosomal RNA", at positions 28 to 342 of the family's 1533-position model. The record is from RNAcentral.